GGGGGGAGUGCCGGAUCUUGGGCUGUGUCCCCGGCGCCCUGUGGUCCUGGGCCUGUGCUGUUGGAUUCGUGCUCCUGGCCGCGCUGCCCCCU
Canis lupus familiaris (dog) is the source of this 92-nucleotide non-coding RNA. Lineage: Eukaryota; Metazoa; Chordata; Mammalia; Carnivora; Canidae. The record is from Rfam.